AGUGAACGCUGGCGGUAGGCCUAACACAUGCAAGUCGAACGGCAGCACAGGAGAGCUUGCUCUCUGGGUGGCGAGUGGCGGACGGGUGAGGAAUACAUCGGAAUCUGCUCUGUCGUGGGGGAUAACGUAGGGAAACUUACGCUAAUACCGCAUACGACCUACGGGUGAAAGCAGGGGACCUUCGGGCCUUGCCCGAUGGAAUGAGCCGAUGUCGGGUUAGCUAGUUGGCGGGGUAAAGGCCCACCAAGGCGACGAUCCGUAGCUGGUCUGAGGGGAUGAUCAGCCACACUGGAACUGAGACACGGUCCAGACUCCUACGGGAGGCAGCAGUGGGGAAUAUUGGACAAUGGGCGCAAGCCUGAUCCAGCCAUACCGCGUGGGUGAAGAAGGCCUUCGGGUUGUAAAGCCCUUUUGUUGGGAAAGAAAUCCAGCUGGCUAAUACCCGGUUGGGAUGACGGUACCCAAAGAAUAAGCACCGGCUAACUUCGUGCCAGCCGCCGCGGUAA
Molecule: ribosomal RNA, 506 nt
Filed under: uncultured bacterium
Lineage: Bacteria
Description: partial 16S ribosomal RNA
Rfam family: Bacterial small subunit ribosomal RNA
Source: RNAcentral